RNAcentral lists this ribosomal RNA (494 nucleotides) under uncultured bacterium. Its description in RNAcentral is "partial 16S ribosomal RNA". It matches the Rfam family "Bacterial small subunit ribosomal RNA", at positions 28 to 507 of the family's 1533-position model. The record is from RNAcentral.
GACGAACGCUGGCGGCGUGCUUAACACAUGCAAGUCGAACGGUGAAGCGCCUUCCUUUUUGGUUGGUGUGGAUGAGUGGCGAACGGGUGAGUAACACGUGAGUAACCUGCCCCCUUCUUCUGGAUAACCGCAUGAAAGUGUGGCUAAUACGGGAUAUUCUGGGUCUGUCGCAUGAUGGGUCUGGGAAAGAUAUUGUUUCGGUGGGGGAUGGUCUCGCGGCCUAUCAGCUUGUUGGUGGGGUGAUGGCCUACCAAGGCGGUGACGGGUAGCCGGCCUGAGAGGGUGGACGGACACACUGGGACUGAGACACGGCCCAGACUCAUACGGGAGGCAGCAGUGGGGAAUAUGGCACAAUGGGCGCAAGCCUGAUGCAGAGACGCCGCGUGAGGGAUGGAGGCCUUCGGGUUGUGAACCUCUUUCGCCAGUGAAGCAGGCCUGCCUCGUUUGUGGGUGGGUUGACGGUAGCUGGAUAAGAAGCGCCGGCUAACUACGUG